UUCUUCAACGCUCAGACCCAAGUCCCCAUUGAGACUCUCCUCGCUCUCUCUAUCUACUGCCUUUACCUUCAUCUUCAUAAUUCACAUAACAGUUGGAGAGUCUCUGUGCUGCAGCUGAUUUAACCUUUUAGAGGCAUCUUGUUUCUCACUGAUGUACUUGGUUCAAGAUUGUGGCCCGCAUCAGAAAUACAGAUCAAAUGCCAUCAUUAAAGAUGAAAACCAAGUUGAAUGCGGACUGUUUAAGACAAAAAAAUGGUCUCCAUGUAUGUCAGAAGUCAAGUACAAUAUCCAAGCAUUCUUGCUCUCGCAUUAGAAUUUCUCAGCAAACAGCAGAAUUUGAAUCAUGUAUUCAAAGUUGUCAGGAUGUUUCUUCAAGCAAUGAAGUCUCCACACAGGAUACUGGAAGUAAUGAAGCAGCUAUUGACCAGCAAGAACUGCUAGAUGCUGAAAAUCUUCAGUUUCAGAUGGAGUUGUCAUCUUUAGUCGAUCCCAUAACUAUGGAGAAUAUGGAAUAUGCCACAGUCCCCUGGCCAUCAAACUUAGAGACAAUUUUCUCACCUGUUCUUGAGUCUGUUGACGUUCACAGUGAACUAAAUAUUCUCAACAGUGCAGGGAGCUACAAUGAACCUUAUUUGGCACAGUUGAUAGCUGAUGAUAGUGAUGAUAACAGCAGAAGCUCAUCUGACUAUCAAACUUGCAAUGUAUCAGAUUUUUACAUUUCUGAUAUGAUUGUUGCAGACCUACCCAUUGAUGGGAACUCCAUGUAUGAUGACAUUACUGGGAUCAAUCCCUUUCCUGAUUACAAAUAUGGUGAACCAAGUAUGUUGUUUGAUGUGGCUGAGCAAUGUAUGAUACUACCUUUCCUUGAGGAUACUAGGGAAGCUAGAAAUAUCUACGGUCCUACUUCCUGUGAAGAAGCCAUGGUUGGUUCGGACAAUUCAAGCUUAUAUCUAGCAAUUCAUCAGAUGAGAUCCUGCAACCAGGAAUCUGACAUAAACCCUUGCUCUGACCAAGAUCAAGCAGAGUGCUUUGAUCCACAUUUGUUUAUCAGAAAUUUACCAGACCUAUCUGAUGUGGUAGCAAAUUCUCGGCCUACUAUAUUGCCUAAGGAAACACGGAAAAAGAAGAGUAUUACUCUAGUACUUGAUUUGGAUGAAACGCUCGUGCAUUCUACAUUGGAACAUUGUGAUGAUGCAGAUUUCACCUUUCCUGUUUUUUUCAACAUGAAAGACCACACUGUAUAUGUAAAACAGAGGCCUUACCUCCAUACUUUCUUGGAGAGAGUUGCAGAGAUGUUCGAAAUUGUUGUUUUCACUGCCAGUCAAAGCAUCUAUGCUGAACAACUUUUGGAUAUACUUGAUCCUGAUGGAAAGCUUUUUUCUCAUCGAGCUUAUCGUGAAUCAUGCAUUUUUUCAGAUGGCAGUUACACUAAAGACUUGACGGUUUUAGGCAUAGACCUUGCAAAAGUUGCUAUAAUUGAUAAUUCACCCCAGGUUUUCCAGUUGCAAGUGAAUAAUGGGAUUCCUAUUAAGAGUUGGUUUGAUGAUCCGUCAGACCAUGCACUAAUUUCACUACUUCCCUUCCUAGAGACCCUGGUUGAUGCUGAUGAUGUCCGUCCUAUCAUUGCCAAGAGAUUCGGUAACAAGGAAUAAGAACCCCUCCUUGGUUCUCUUUUUCAUUAGCUCAAAUUUAAUGACUCCUUCCCUGUGUCUCUUUUUAAGCAAAAGUUAUGCUUCAAUCAUGUUCAGUUCUCAUUCCUCUUGAGCUCUUUAGAUGAUUGUUUAUACAAUAAAUAAAUCAGUAGCCUUGUUGAGUCAGCUUUUGGUGCUUGUCCCCUUUCUUUUCUCCUCUUGGCUAACAAACUCAGUGAAGCAUUCUUACCUAAUUUGUCUCAACAAGUAGUUUCCCGAGAGCAUAUAUCAUUUUCAUUGUACAGUUAUAGGUGCUAUUAUAUUGCAAGAGUGUGUAUAUGUACUAUUUUUAUUGUGAAAUAAAAUUCUUACAGACCCUUGUUUGCCCUUUAUCUAUUGAGCCAGUUUCCAAGAAAGUUUUUUUCUGCUCUUUCUUCAUUUUUCUGCCACUUCUAUGAAAUUAUUUCACUCCUUUAUGUAUUCUUGUAAGAAGAUAUGCAUGAAGUUUGGCUCUUAGCUGAGAGAAAUGAUGUUAUCUUUGAUACAAUAUGGUGUUCCCAUCUUUUGUUUAGUUGUUUAUAUUCACAAAUUGAAUAUAAUUAUUUUUUUUUUAAUGUUGACUAGCUUUUCUCUCGAUCAAAUUUUAGAUAUGGGCCUUAAAAGGAAUUUUGUUCCAGUUACUUUGUGUGCACAAGGAAUGAUAUUAUUUCAAGAAACUUACAACUAGAAGCAAAUUAGAACAAAGGAAGUCGAGAUAACCUAAAAAUAUGAUAGACUAGAUAAUUCCUUUGUAACAAAUGGAUGGAUAUGUAUUAUUAUCAAUAUAACAUACUAUAAUAAGUAAAGAUCUGAAACUUAGCCUAUAUCCAUUUCUAGGCAAAGUUAAUUAAAGAACAAAAGGAAAUUCUAUUAUAUUGAAAAAGAUUGAAUACCACUGAAAGUUUAAGCAAAAGAUUUUUAAACAGAUAUAUUGAUUUAUGUUGAAUAAAGUGAAAAGUAAUAUGAGCUGCAUAAGGAAUAAGAUACUCACCUAUGUAGGCAGUAGGUAUAUAUGAAAGUGUUACUGCUUUCAUGGAAGAACUUUAACAUUUAGAGAGAACAAAGUGAAGAACAGAAACUUGGUCAAGCCAAAUAUGUAACAUUGUUAAAAUAGAUUUGACUGUAACAAUCCGUACAAUAUAAAACAUUAUGUACUCUCAUAGGUAUAUUGUGCUGCAUGUGUGUUUGCACACAUGAUGCAGAACAACUUUGGAAGUACCGCUUGAAAACUUAUGAAAGAAAAGGAACAAAAUUCAGCAAGGGUUGUUUGUUAGAAUUGGAUUUAGUUGUUUAACUAUUUAUGUUUUAUUCAUUAGGGAAAGAAGUUAUUCAUUCUUGGAAAUAGAAUCCUUGUUUUAUUAGGAAAAUGGGUCCUAUGAGUCUAUAUAAAUGCAUGUAAUCUUUCAGAUUUCAUAAUAGAAGUUAUUGAGAGUUCUAAUAACUUGCUUGCUUUUUGGAAGAUAUGACUGCCUUCUUCCAAUUGAGAUUGCUUAGGAAAUCUAGGUGUGACUGCCAAUAUAUAUGUUCUCUUUUUUAAGUCUUCCUUAACCCUUUUUGUCUCAUUUUGCAACUUGAGAAAUUUCUGUAGUGCUGGAAAUUUAAUGAUUCUGUAUCAGUACAUGCUUGUGUGCACUCUUGGGGGGUGGCAGACGGAAGAUUCUGAUACUACUAAUUGAGUGAAGAUCAAAAUGGAUUGGCCCCAAGGGAAGAAAAAAAUAAUAGGUAUGUAGAUUUAAUAGCUAGCUAUCUAAUUGUUAAUUAUGUAGGAAGUUCUUCUCAACUGUGGAUUACCCUGACAUUUUUUCCUUAAAAAGAUGUGACGCAAUAUUAAGAACAAACUAAGCUGUAUAAUUUCAUACCAGGAUAAUCAGAUACUUAGUCAUCUGCUUUAUUUCUUGUUUCUUUACAAGUCAACUCCCCUUGUCAUGUAAAGAUGAUAAGUAAAUCUAUUUUUUGGCUAGUGGAAUACUGUUUUGAUAA
Molecule: RNA transcript, 3650 nt
Organism: Vitis riparia (riverbank grape)
Lineage: Eukaryota; Viridiplantae; Streptophyta; Magnoliopsida; Vitales; Vitaceae
Exons: 8
Source: RefSeq, a predicted model, not a curated record